This 274-nucleotide ribosomal RNA is filed under the name uncultured bacterium. RNAcentral describes it as "partial 16S ribosomal RNA". It matches the Rfam family "Bacterial small subunit ribosomal RNA", at positions 523 to 796 of the family's 1533-position model. The record is from RNAcentral.
AUACGGAGGGUGCAAGCGUUAUUCGGAAUCACUGGGCGUAAAGGACGCGUAGGCGGGUUGGCAAGUCAGAUGUGAAAUCCUACAACUUAACUGUAGAACUGCAUUUGAAACUGCUAACCUAGAGUAUGGGAGGGGGAGAUGGAAUUAGUGGUGUAGGGGUAAAAUCCGUAGAUAUCACUAGGAAUACCGAAAGCGAAGGCGAUCUCCUGGAACAUAACUGACGCUAAGGCGUGAAAGCGUGGGGAGCAAACAGGAUUAGAAACCCUAGUAGUCC